CGGAGGGUGCAAGCGUUAUCCGGAUUCACUGGGUUUAAAGGGUGCGUAGGCGGGUUGGUAAGUCCGUGGUGAAAUCCCCAAGCUUAACUUGGGAACUGCCGUGGAUACUAUCAAUCUUGAAUAUCGUGGAGGUAAGCGGAAUAUGUCAUGUAGCGGUGAAAUGCUUAGAUAUGACAUAGAACACCAAUUGCGUAGGCAGCUUACUACACGAUCAUUGACGCUGAGGCACGAAAGCGUGGGGAGCAAACAGGAUUAGAUACCCUGGUAGUCCACGCCCUAAACGAUGGAUACUCGACAUCAGCGAUACACUGUUGGUGUCUGAGCGAAAGCAUUAAGUAUCCACCUGGGAAGUACGAUCGCAAGAUUG
RNAcentral lists this ribosomal RNA (367 nucleotides) under uncultured organism. RNAcentral's name for it is "bacterial SSU rRNA". It matches the Rfam family "Bacterial small subunit ribosomal RNA", at positions 526 to 896 of the family's 1533-position model. The record is from RNAcentral.